Lolium rigidum is the source of this 918-nucleotide long non-coding RNA. RefSeq lists it as uncharacterized. The transcript is spliced from 4 exons. NCBI's taxonomy places the organism in Eukaryota, Viridiplantae, Streptophyta, Magnoliopsida, Poales, Poaceae. The record is from RefSeq and is a predicted model, not a curated record.
CACCAUCUCCGACCGCGGCGCCUCCUCCAGACCUCCAGGCCUCUACAUCAAGCAGCCGCGUCCCACUGCAACAAAUUCCUGGACGCUCUCCUACCUCCUGCGGCUUAAGGCAAACCCUAGGUGCCGCCGCCAUGCCCAACUGCGCGAGCAACAAAUUCGGGCAACCGCCCAGCCCUCUCUGUGACGGCAAGAAACGGCGACCCCUCAGGGAACCAAGCCGGCGACCACUUUUCCUGCCAGGCCGGUGAUGCGCAAUUCUGUGCAGAACACACGGUGUUGGGCACUCAAGAUCCACUUGGUGGAUGAAUCGGGAGCGGAUCGGGUGGCCGUCAUGGUCUUCUUCCCUACCAACAACAUUGGCCUGCCUGAUUAGUUUCAGGCGCAGUAGCACCUGAAGCUAGGUUUACCAGGACAACCUCCAUGUGAUUUGUGACUAUUUCAAAUUCUAUGCCUGAUGCCUCCCUUAUUGUUUGGAUUCACUUAUCUUCGUUCAGUAUAAGAGGAUAUAUGCAUGGGAAGUUUAUUACAGAUUGCACAAUAUAUACUUCUAAUGUUGUUCAGAUGAAACUGAUCCACAUAUUUAGUUGGACACUUGUACAAUGUUCGUAUGCAUAAGGAUGUAUGGUUGGUUUUGUACGGGAGCUGCUCUUCCAUGUGAAUGCAAUUCAAUCGAUCCACCGUGGUAUUCUGCCCACCUCUAGGAGAGGCUCUACAGGAUUUCUGAAUAAGAGCCCACAUGACAUGUUUAAUUCUCAUGGGGCAGUAAUUUCCAUUGUUUAGACAUCUGGAGUAGCUUACUUCUAUGGAGCGUUGUAACAUGUUGGACAUCAAUUGGCUCAUCAGAUGGGGUCUUGUAUUCAGUUUUCUUAUGAUGGUGAUAUCAAAGAGUCUCUUCGAAGACCAGUAGUCCAGCACCUA